This 315-nucleotide ribosomal RNA is filed under the name Gammaproteobacteria bacterium. RNAcentral's name for it is "bacterial SSU rRNA". It matches the Rfam family "Bacterial small subunit ribosomal RNA", at positions 1 to 316 of the family's 1533-position model. The record is from RNAcentral. Lineage: Bacteria; Pseudomonadati; Pseudomonadota; Gammaproteobacteria.
UGAACUGAAGAGUUUGAUCAUGGCUCAGAUUGAACGUUGGCGGCAGGCCUCAUACAUGCAAGUCGAACGAGAAAGGCCCUUCGGGGCCGAGUAAAGUGGCGGACGGGUGAGUAAUGCGUAGGAAUCUACCCGGUAGUGGGGGACAACUCGAGGAAACUCGAGCUAAUACCGCAUACGAUCUUCGGAUGAAAGCGGGGGACUCUUCGGAGCCUCGCGCUAUCGGAGGAGCCUACGUUGGAUUAGCUAGUUGGUAGGGUAACGGCCUACCAAGGCGACGAUCCAUAGCUGGUCUGAGAGGACGAUCAGCCACACUGG